Molecule: ribosomal RNA, 253 nt
Filed under: uncultured bacterium
Lineage: Bacteria
Description: partial 16S ribosomal RNA
Rfam family: Bacterial small subunit ribosomal RNA
Source: RNAcentral
UACGUAGGUGGCAAGCGUUGUCCGGAUUUACUGGGCGUAAAGAGCGCGCAGGCGGUCGUUCAAGUCGCGUGUGAAAGCCCCCGGUUCAACUGGGGAGGGUCACGCGAUACUGAUCGACUCGAAGGCAGGAGAGGGUAGUGGAAUUCCCGGUGUAGUGGUGAAAUGCGUAGAUAUCGGGAGGAACACCAGUGGCGAAGGCGACUACCUGGCCUGUUCUUGACGCUGAGGCGCGAAAGCUAGGGGAGCAAACGGG